Molecule: small RNA, 277 nt
Filed under: Arabidopsis thaliana (thale cress)
Lineage: Eukaryota; Viridiplantae; Streptophyta; Magnoliopsida; Brassicales; Brassicaceae
Description: ATSL270990
Source: RNAcentral
UUACAUAGAGCGUUUUGACUUUAACUUGUUGAUUCGUAAUGCCUGUUAGGUUAGCUCUUGUCAAUGGUGAUUGAGUUUAGGACUGGUUUAACUUGAGGGUCUCUAUUGCGGUGGCACUUAGAUUUAGUUAUCGAACUUGUUGCCUAAGGAUAAUUUAUUGAGCAUGUCAAUCACCUGUAAAUCAACUAGUCAAUUACCUCAUCCUCCGGAAUUUCUCAUCUAAUUGAUUUCUUUGUUUACUCUGCUAUUGUUUACUGCAUCUUGCUGCAUGUUGUUU